Long non-coding RNA from Xenia sp. Carnegie-2017, 2100 nucleotides. RefSeq lists it as uncharacterized. The transcript is spliced from 5 exons. The record is from RefSeq and is a predicted model, not a curated record. Lineage: Eukaryota; Metazoa; Cnidaria; Anthozoa; Malacalcyonacea; Xeniidae.
UGGGAAGUUGACGAACAAGACUACACAAAAACGACAAAUAUAACGUAAUAAACAAAUUUGUGGUUGUGCAAACCAAAGAAAUGUUGUCGGUUUAAGUGUUGUAAACGACGAGUAUCGUUAAUUUUCUGUUCAUUAACAAAAAAGGUCUCAUUUUAUCGCCGAUGUAUUUGAAUGCGUUGAUAAAAAAUGAAGAUUGUCAACAUGAGUGAUGGAAACAGAACAAGAAAUGGAAUUUAUGACUUUGAAGAAACCUGUUCAAAAGCAUAUAAGUAAAGUUGAGCAAUGAAGAGCAACUACAUAAAGUAGUACACAAAAAGAAAGGAAAAGAUUGAUUCAAAAGACAAUUGAAUAAAGACUUUCUUACAGAGAAAAAUAAGGAAAUCUUUUUUCAUUUGUUCUUUGAGCUUUCUUUUUAUGCAGAAAAAGAUCAAGAAAAUGAGGUAUGUGUUCUUUGGUUUGUGUAGCCCUUUCUCUUUGUUUUUUAGGUUUUCUUUCAAAAUCAGAAGAUGAUCGAAAGAAGACCUUGGUGAGUAUUCCUUUGGUAUUUGUUAUCUUUUUACAAUUUCUUUGACGUUUUCUUUUAGAUGCAGAGCAAAAUACGGAAAACUGAGGUAUGUGUUUCACUGUUAUUGUAUAUCUUUUUGCUUGUUCUUCAGGCUCAUAGAUCCAGAAAAAGAUAAAAGACUGAGGUAUGUAUUUCUCUGUUUACGCCCUUUCUCCAUGUUUAGGCUUUUCAUUCAAAUUCAGGAGAGAAGACCUUUGAAAGCAUUGUUUGUUUUUUUGUAAUUCUUCUCAAUUUUAAAGGUUUUCUUUUAGAUGCUGUAAUAUUAAGAUAAGGAAAACUGACGUAUGUGUUUCGUUGUUUGUUUGGCUCUUUUUGUUUGUUUAUUUGGCUUUUCAUAUAAAUUCAGAGAACGAUCAAGCAAACUGAGUUUGUUUCACGGCUUUUGUGGCUCUUUUCAUUAGUUCUUUUGGCUAUUCUUGUAAAGAACAGAAACGUUAAGGAGACUGACGUAUCAUCACUUAGUCGUGUGGCCCUUUUUCUUUGUUCUUUCGGCUUUUCUUUAAGCUCAGAAGGCGAUUGAGUAAAAACUUUUGUAAGUAUGACUUUUAUUUUUGUAAUUCUUUUUAAUAUUUCUUCGACGUUUUUUUAGAAGCUGAGAUAGAUGAAGAAAUCUGAGGUAUGCGUUUAAUUUCUUUUCGCAUGGCCCUUUCGCCUUGUUCUUUAGACUUUUCUUUAGAUUCAGAAGGUGAUUGGGUAAAGACCUUGAUGUAGAGAAAGAUCUAAGGAAAUCUGAGGUUUUCUGUUUCAUUGAUAAUGCAGUGAAGGAUGAAGACAACUGAGGUAUAUGUGUUUCAUUGCUUAUUUGCUUUUUGUUGUUGACUUAUGUAGCUAUGUGUUUGUCUGUUUUUGUGGCUGUUUUCCUUGUUAUUUAGCUUUUCUUUCAGGUUCAGAUGAACAAUUAUUUGAAGCUUUUGGUAAUUUUUUUUUUUUUGUAAUUCCUCUGACUACUUUUUUUUAGCCAUUUCUUUUAAACGCAAAGAAAGAUGAAGAAGACUGAUAUUACUUUUCCACAUUUGAUAGAAACGUAUCUUUCAAGUAGAAGUUUAAUGGAAACUCUGUGAAUGCAUUUACUAAAAGCACAAAGUGGAGAUUAUAGAGUUUCACCAAAAAUGCUUUUCUAUACAAGAAGCUAAAACAAUUGUAUCUGAAUUAGCGUAAAAUAAACAUUUGUGUGUAGUAAAUGUUUUUAUUGUUUUUUUGGACAGGUUGGUGGCGAAACAAUUGUUUCAUUGUACCAAAGAAGUUAUGAUCUCAAAAUUGUCUGUGGUGAGGACAAGAGGGGCGUCACAUGCCCUUUGCAAGCCAUACUAUCCGACAAAAAUGAAUGAUCAACGUGUGAGACAAUUCUAUAUCGCUGUAUCGCUAAAAGAACUUUGUGAAGCCAUAAUCUUAUUGCACAGAUGAAAACUUUAAUUAUAAACUCUGCUGUAGAAGAUAGGCGGGGUUACAUAAAUUCAGAUUUGAAAUGUGAAUGUAAUUUUCUAUGUAUAAUCUGUGAUAAAAUUUUAAACAAGUAACUAUAUAAGUAAACAAGA